AGAAAAUGGAUGGAUGGAUGGAUAGAGAAUAAUACCCCACCACUUGUCAAAAGUUUGAUGGAUGACGUCACAGCCAAUCAGAAUCGACUAUGUCACUAAGCCCUGCCCCUAA
Long non-coding RNA from Thalassophryne amazonica, 112 nucleotides. RefSeq lists it as uncharacterized. The record is from RefSeq and is a predicted model, not a curated record. NCBI's taxonomy places the organism in Eukaryota, Metazoa, Chordata, Actinopteri, Batrachoidiformes, Batrachoididae. The transcript has 3 exons.